RNAcentral lists this non-coding RNA (32 nucleotides) under Geobacter sulfurreducens PCA. Lineage: Bacteria; Pseudomonadati; Thermodesulfobacteriota; Desulfuromonadia; Geobacterales; Geobacteraceae. The record is from RNAcentral.
UCCAGCAUUGCCUUGCCGUGUCCGGAUUUGCG